UACGUAGGGUGCAAGCGUUGUCCGGAAUUAUUGGGCGUAAAGAGCUCGUAGGCGGUCUGUCGCGUCUGCUGUGAAAACUCAGGGCUUAACCCUGAGCUUGCAGUGGGUACGGGCAGACUAGAGUGCGGUAGGGGAGACUGGAAUUCCUGGUGUAGCGGUGAAAUGCGCAGAUAUCAGGGAGGGAACACCCGGUGGCGAAAGGCGGGUCUCUGGGCCGAUACUAACGC
RNAcentral lists this ribosomal RNA (227 nucleotides) under uncultured bacterium. Its description in RNAcentral is "partial 16S ribosomal RNA". It matches the Rfam family "Bacterial small subunit ribosomal RNA", at positions 524 to 746 of the family's 1533-position model. The record is from RNAcentral.